Molecule: ribosomal RNA, 253 nt
Filed under: uncultured bacterium
Lineage: Bacteria
Description: partial 16S ribosomal RNA
Rfam family: Bacterial small subunit ribosomal RNA
Source: RNAcentral
UACGAAGGGUGCAAGCGUUACUCGGAAUUACUGGGCGUAAAGCGUGCGUAGGCGGUUUGUUAAGUCUGAUGUGAAAGCCCUGGGCUCAACCUGGGAAUGGCAUUGGAUACUGGCAACCUAGAAUGUGGUAGAGGGUGGCGGAAUUCCCGGUGUAGCAGUGAAAUGCGUAGAUAUCGGGAGGAACACCAGUGGCGAAGGCGACUACCUGGCCUGUUCUUGACGCUGAGGCGCGAAAGCUAGGGGAGCAAACGGG